UCGUCCCCGAGGAUUCAACAGUCUGCUCACCGCAAGGCUCGCAUCUGUUCUCCUCAUGCUCUUCUUUGCACAGGCCGGCGUUGCAUCAGAAGUUCCGCCGGAGGCUCACGUCGAUGCGGCCCAUGGUCCGGACACCAGCCUGCCACGACUGGCAAUGCCCAAUAUCGCUGCGCUCUACUGCGUGCAGCUUGGAUACGACUACGAGAUCAUCGACACAGAGAAUGGCCAGCAAGGUGUUGUGGUGUUGCCGAACGGAGAGG
Molecule: ribosomal RNA, 260 nt
Filed under: uncultured eukaryote
Lineage: Eukaryota
Description: partial small subunit ribosomal RNA
Source: RNAcentral